CACAAAAUACUCCCGUAGACCGCGAGAAACUAGCCUGAAACGACCUUCGGUCCAUGGUGGACCACUCGAAAUCAAGAAAAAUCGCCCGCCCAGUCCACGCACUGCACAUGGACCGCAUGGGAGAACUGCCACCGGUCUCCACCGUUUCGAUUAUCGUGCCAUCUUCUAUCGAGCGUAUCUCCUUUAUUCAAUCUUCGUUGGGGC
RNAcentral lists this long non-coding RNA (204 nucleotides) under Elaeis guineensis (African oil palm). RNAcentral's name for it is "long non-coding RNA (EGUI_LNC005044)". The record is from RNAcentral. Lineage: Eukaryota; Viridiplantae; Streptophyta; Magnoliopsida; Arecales; Arecaceae.